This 703-nucleotide ribosomal RNA is filed under the name Enterobacter sp. DHL-03. RNAcentral's name for it is "partial 16S rRNA". The record is from RNAcentral. Lineage: Bacteria; Pseudomonadati; Pseudomonadota; Gammaproteobacteria; Enterobacterales; Enterobacteriaceae.
CCACGCUUUCGCACCUGAGCGUCAGUCUUCUGUCCAGGGGGCCGCCUUCGCCACCGGUAUUCCUCCAGAUCUCUACGCAUUUCACCGCUACACCUGGAAUUCUACCCCCCUCUACAAGACUCNAGCNUGCCAGUAUCAAAUGCAGUUCCCAGGUUGAGCCCGGGGAUUUCACAUCNGACUUGACAGACCGCCUGCGUGCGCUUUACGCCCAGUAAUUCCGAUUAACGCUUGCACCCUCCGUAUUACCGCGGCUGCUGGCACGGAGUUAGCCGGUGCUUCUUCUGCGGGUAACGUCAAUNNNUGAAGGUAUUAACUNNANUNCCUUCCUCCCCGCUGAAAGUACUUUACAACCCGAAGGCCUUCUUCAUACACGCGGCAUGGCUGCAUCAGGCUUGCGCCCAUUGUGCAAUAUUCCCCACUGCUGCCUCCCGUAGGAGUCUGGACCGUGUCUCAGUUCCAGUGUGGCUGGUCAUCCUCUCAGACCAGCUAGGGAUCGUCGCCUAGGUGAGCCGUUACCCCACCUACUAGCUAAUCCCAUCUGGGCACAUCUGAUGGCAAGAGGCCCGAAGGUCCCCCUCUUUGGUCUUGCGACGUUAUGCGGUAUUAGCUACCGUUUCCAGUAGUUAUCCCCCUCCAUCAGGCAGUUUCCCAGACAUUACUCACCCGUCCGCCACUCGUCACCAGAGAGCAAGCUCUCUGCGUG